This 709-nucleotide ribosomal RNA is filed under the name uncultured bacterium. Its description in RNAcentral is "bacterial SSU rRNA". It matches the Rfam family "Bacterial small subunit ribosomal RNA", at positions 8 to 738 of the family's 1533-position model. The record is from RNAcentral.
AGAGUUUGAUCCUGGCUCAGAACGAACGCUGGCGGCAGGCCUAACACAUGCAAGUCGAGCGAGAUCUUCGGGUCUAGCGGCGGACGGGUUAGUAACGCGUGGGAACGUGCCCUUCUCUAUGGAAUAGCCUCGGGAAACUGAGAGUAAUACCAUAUACGCCCUUCGGGGGAAAGAUUUAUCGGAGAAGGAUCGGCCCGCGUCGGAUUAGGUAGUUGGUGGGGUAACGGCCUACCAAGCCGACGAUCCAUAGCUGGUUUGAGAGGAUGAUCAGCAACACUGGGACUGAGACACGGCCCAGACUCCUACGGGAGGCAGCAGUGGGGAAUUUUGGACAAUGGGCGAAAGCCUGAUCCAGCCAUUCCGCGUGCAGGAUGAAGGCCCUCGGGUUGUAAACUGCUUUUGUACGGAACGAAAAAGCUCCGGCUAAUACCUGGAGUCCAUGACGGUACCGUAAGAAUAAGCACCGGCUAACUACGUGCCAGCAGCCGCGGUAAUACGUAGGGUGCAAGCGUUAAUCGGAAUUACUGGGCGUAAAGCGUGCGCAGGCGGUUUUGUAAGACAGAGGUGAAAUCCCCGGGCUCAACCUGGGAACUGCCUUUGUGACUGCAAGGCUGGAGUGCGGCAGAGGGGGAUGGAAUUCCGCGUGUAGCAGUGAAAUGCGUAGAUAUGCGGAGGAACACCGAUGGCGAAGGCAAUCCCCUGGGCCUGC